Molecule: long non-coding RNA, 440 nt
Filed under: Onthophagus taurus
Lineage: Eukaryota; Metazoa; Arthropoda; Insecta; Coleoptera; Scarabaeidae
Description: uncharacterized LOC111420568
Source: RNAcentral
UAAAAGUCUUACAAAACUCAAUAAAAGGGAUCAAGAUCUUUCGUAUCGAUGAAAAACUAAUCCCUAUGAUCGACGAACUGAUCCCAGAAAAUAUUCCUACGUUUAAAGAGAACUGACAUGUCUGUGUUGUGAACCCGGCCAGCUUUGCUCACACUAUAACUUGGAUCUAAGGAGUAUAGAACAGCUCUACGUUAUAGCGUUGUAUAUACAGAUUCAUCAUCAUUGGAUGAUGAUAUGCCAUUGAGUUUAGUACGCAAUAAGUUGAGAUGUUAGGAACAAAACUUGGAAUUAAAUUAUUAUUUGUCAACUCCGUUACCACUUCUCAACUCCGUUACCUCUAAACUUAACAUUAUUUUCAUUAUUUAAUUAUAUUCUCAAAGUACAAAACUUUUGUUAUACUAAUAUGUUUUCUUCGAUAAAUAUAUAACCUAGAAAACUAA